RNAcentral lists this ribosomal RNA (492 nucleotides) under uncultured bacterium. RNAcentral's name for it is "partial 16S ribosomal RNA". It matches the Rfam family "Bacterial small subunit ribosomal RNA", at positions 29 to 507 of the family's 1533-position model. The record is from RNAcentral.
AGUGAACGCUGGCGGUAGGCCUAACACAUGCAAGUCGAACGGCAGCACAGUAAGAGCUUGCUCUUACGGGUGGCGAGUGGCGGACGGGUGAGGAAUACAUCGGAAUCUACUUUUUCGUGGGGGAUAACGUAGGAAAACUUACGCUAAUACCGCAUACGACCUACGGGUGAAAGCAGGGGAUCUUCGGACCUUGCGCGAUUGAAUGAGCCGAUGUCGGAUUAGCUAGUUGGCGGGGUAAAGGCCCACCAAGGCGACGAUCCGUAGCUGGUCUGAGAGGAUGAUCAGCCACACUGGAACUGAGACACGGUCCAGACUCCUACGGGAGGCAGCAGUGGGGAAUAUUGGACAAUGGGCGCAAGCCUGAUCCAGCCAUACCGCGUGGGUGAAGAAGGCCUUCGGGUUGUAAAGCCAUUUUGUUGGGAAAGAAAAGCAGCAGGUUAAUACCCCGCUGUUCUGACGGUACCCAAAGAAUAAGCACCGGCUAACUUCGUG